Molecule: long non-coding RNA, 380 nt
Filed under: Brassica napus (rape)
Lineage: Eukaryota; Viridiplantae; Streptophyta; Magnoliopsida; Brassicales; Brassicaceae
Description: long non-coding RNA (BNAP_LNC003507)
Source: RNAcentral
UUUGAUUUGGAUAAUGAGAUUGAGAAAUUUUGAUAAAAAUUAAAAAUAUAAAAUUUGGGUUCUUAAGGUUUUGAAUCAGGAUUGAUUAUGGAAUAGGUGAAUGUAUGACACGAAAUUGGAAUUGGGGAUGAGAUUGAAGAUGGUUAUGCUUGAUUAGUGAUGAGAGGGAGAUGAGAAACAGAGAUCGUGGUUGGUUAUAGAAAUGGAAGGAAAUGUUGAUGAGAAGGGAAUUGAGGAUCUAGGGUUAUUAGAACAAGGAUCGGAUUCUCAUGUAGAGUCGGGUUAAUUGUAAGUGAGUGGAUAAAUAAUGAUGUUGAUUUUUAGGUUUCUUAGUCUUUUCCCCAUAAUUUCGAUUUAGUUUUAAUUUAUUUAAAAAUAAA